This 28-nucleotide non-coding RNA is filed under the name Rattus norvegicus (Norway rat). The record is from RNAcentral. Lineage: Eukaryota; Metazoa; Chordata; Mammalia; Rodentia; Muridae.
UGAACACUUCUCAGCCACUCUUUCUCCA